RNAcentral lists this transfer RNA (75 nucleotides) under Opitutia bacterium AMD-G3. RNAcentral's name for it is "Opitutae bacterium AMD-G3 tRNA-Glu". It matches the Rfam family "tRNA". From Rfam's summary of the family: Transfer RNA (tRNA) molecules are approximately 80 nucleotides in length. Their secondary structure includes four short double-helical elements and three loops (D, anti-codon, and T loops). Lineage: Bacteria; Pseudomonadati; Verrucomicrobiota; Opitutia. The record is from RNAcentral. RNAcentral also lists the same sequence under 1 other name.
GCCCUCAUCGUCUAGUGGUUAGGACACGCGGCUUUCAUCUGCGUAGCCGGGGUUCGAUCCCUCGUAGGGGCGCCA